Molecule: non-coding RNA, 151 nt
Organism: Arachis ipaensis
Lineage: Eukaryota; Viridiplantae; Streptophyta; Magnoliopsida; Fabales; Fabaceae
Source: RefSeq, a predicted model, not a curated record
AUUCUAUCAGUUAAUAAUACAUGGUUGUCAUUGAUUACCUAUAUGCAGCAUCUGCAACAGCAAAGGGAUGUGGACUUAGCUCACCAAACACUGCUCCUUUAUAUUGUGCCAUCAUAUGACUAUCAUAUAAAUGAGGAAGCUUUACAAAAGG